UGACAGACAAGAAGAAAGUCUCAGUGGUGCCCAUGGAAAAGAAGAAGUAGAACUGCAAGAAGCAGCCAGAGAAAGAGAUGGUUUUCUUUUCAGAGAAAAGGAACAGAGCUUUCAUUCUUAUGCUUAGGAGAGCAGUACAUGGAACACAGAAAUACGAGGCUGACCAGAACAAAGGAAAAAGGUA
This 184-nucleotide long non-coding RNA is filed under the name Fukomys damarensis (Damara mole-rat). Its description in RNAcentral is "lncRNA (ENSFDAG00000023182.1)". The record is from RNAcentral. Lineage: Eukaryota; Metazoa; Chordata; Mammalia; Rodentia; Bathyergidae.